RNAcentral lists this unclassified non-coding RNA (355 nucleotides) under soil metagenome. RNAcentral's name for it is "partial contains 5.8S ribosomal RNA, internal transcribed spacer 2, and large subunit ribosomal RNA". The stretch from base 1 to 120 matches the Rfam family "5.8S ribosomal RNA", at positions 35 to 154 of the family's 154-position model. The record is from RNAcentral.
GAUGAAGAACGUAGCAAAAUGCGAUAAGUAAUGUGAAUUGCAGAAUUCAGUGAAUCAUCGAAUCUUUGAACGCACAUUGCGCCCAUUAGUAUUCUAGUGGGCAUGCCUGUUCGAGCGUCAUUAAGUCCACUUAAGCCCUGCUUAGUGUUGGGAGACUGCUCCAGCGGUGCUACCCUGUAGCUACCCUGCAGCUCCUCAAAGACAGCGGCGGAGUUGUGGUAUCCUCUGAGCUUAGUAACUUGUUCUAGCUUUCGAGUACACCACUUCCCCUGCCGUAAAACCCUUAAUUUUUAAUGGUUGACCUCGGAUCAGGUAGGAAUACCCGCUGAACUUAAGCAUAUCAAUAAGCGGAGGA